UCUUAAAAUUAAACAUAAAUAAUUAAUUAGCCUAUUCCCAAAUUAAUUAGACAUUUUCUUCAACAUUAACCUAUUCCCAAUUUUAUUUUACUUUUCAUCUUCUCCAACUCACAAACAAAAAUUGCAGAAGCAAACAUUGUCGAAGGCCAUUGUCGCGCCAAUCUCCCCAGCUUCGCCGUCGUCGAGCUUUCUCCCCAGCUCCGGUGUCGACAUUGUUCCAUGCUUGCAAAGCCUAGCUUCAGCACGUUGCUCCACUACCCAUCCACCUGUUGUUGCCAAUCCAACCUCAGACCAGAUUUCAACCUUCUCGUUGCUCUAAUCCGCCAAAGCCCAGAUGCUGCCACCAUCGUGAGGAAAGCCCCAAACCCCAACCCGUUGUUGCCAAUCCGAAGCCCAGUUGUUGCUCAGAUGCUCCAACCAACAUUUUGCCACCAUCUUGAGGAAAGCUCUAAGCCGCCUCAUCCCUAUCCCUGAGCAAAAUAAUGUGCCUAGGAUAGGCAGCGAUGGAGGAAGGCAUACUAAAGAUUCUGAAGAAAGUAGUAUUAUUCCUGAAAGUAUGGGAAGGCAUUACUUUUGCAUUGUAUUAGUGCAGAUGGCAUUUUUUGAAAGCAAGAAGGUUAAGUCAUUUGAAUCAACAGCUGAAGUAGAUGAGUGAUUGUUUUCUAAUCCUAUGCUGACCCCCGGAGACUUGCAUUUUGCUGAACUAAAUGCUACUGUAAUUAGCUAAGGUAUACAGACUAAUUCAACUCCAUUAGAAGAAAAAAAAAAGGGAACUAUGAAGACCCCACAUUCAAGUUUCAAAUACCACUUCAGAUUGCAGCAGAGUGUGAAAUUGCUAGGUCUCUCAUUGGAGUCAUGCUUCAAAUGACUACUUCUAUUAUCCAGAACUUAGCAUAGAAGGUACAAGGGAAUCAACUAAGCUCAGCAGCAAUAAGUAUUAUCCUAGUUAUAUGAUCUCAUACAGUGAGGAAAAGCUUCUCAUUACAAGUGGUUGGUGUUGCUUCUUUUGUCUUUCUUUUAGUGGUAAUUUUAUAUAAAAAGUAUAUUAUGAUUGUUUGUGCUAUUCAAAAUUUAUAUGAAACAAUGAAUUUAUAGUUUGUAAUAUUGAGUCAAUUCUAGUAUACAGGGGAAUGCGCGGGAAUGCGCUUUGGUCUUAUAUAAAUAGCUCAACUUCCUUUGCUUCCUUUCUAAUGACUACACCUUAGUUAGUUGUAUUAUAUCACCUAGCAGCUUUUAAGUAUAAUAAACAAUUUUCGCAAGAGCUAGAGUGUGUUAGUGAUAUAACCAUAUUAGUUAAAGACAUUUUCUCAAUCUUCUUAUAUAUGAUUAGCUCUCUUGUUUGAGACUGUCAUGUUUACCUCACUUUGACAGGUACUUCAGAUGAGUUCUUUGUUCAUUUUAUGUAGAUUAUUACCAAAAGUUUACACAAAACCAGAGAUUUUUUCUCUAUUUAUAUAUAUAUAUAUAUAUUUAAAAAUCUAGUUGCAUAUGUGAAUCUAUUUGAUAUUUGUGUAAUAACCUCUUGUUUUCUUUCUCUCUUUAUUUUUGUGAGUUAUUGUGUGACAGUUUGUAGUUUUGGGCUCCAAAAGGAUAUCUGAUUCAGUUCAUGAAGUUUCCAAUGCUUUACUGAAGAGAUUGCUUCCUAGACAUGAACUUUGUUUUAUUUUCAAGAUUGUCUCCAAGCUAAACAAAUAGACUCACAACAAAGACAAGUGCACAAAGGAUGAUGAAUUGAAGGAUGGAGCAAGUUUCAUGCAUGGUUUACUUUUGUGUAUCUUGUAAUGUUUCUGUUUUUCAUUUUUGAAGUAAAAAAUGUUCAAGAUUAUAAAACUUUAUUAUGAUAGGCUUUCAAACUUAAGUUAGAACUAAGAUCUCAUGAAGUAGACACAUUCAUGGUUUGAAUUAGUUAUUGUUUAAUGUAAUACUUAUGGUUUAUCAAUCUA
This is a long non-coding RNA of Humulus lupulus (European hop), 1943 nucleotides long. RefSeq lists it as uncharacterized. The record is from RefSeq and is a predicted model, not a curated record. NCBI's taxonomy places the organism in Eukaryota, Viridiplantae, Streptophyta, Magnoliopsida, Rosales, Cannabaceae. The transcript is spliced from 5 exons.